RNAcentral lists this ribosomal RNA (499 nucleotides) under uncultured bacterium. RNAcentral's name for it is "partial 16S ribosomal RNA". It matches the Rfam family "Bacterial small subunit ribosomal RNA", at positions 30 to 523 of the family's 1533-position model. The record is from RNAcentral.
AUUGAACGCUGGCGGCAUGCCUUACACAUGCAAGUCGAACGGCAGCACGGGAGCAAUCCUGGUGGCGAGUGGCGAACGGGUGAGUAAAGUAUCGGAACGUGCCCAGUCGUGGGGGAUAACGUAGCGAAGUUACGCUAAUACCGCAUACGAUCUAUGGAUGAAAGCGGGGGAUCGCAAGACCUCGCGCGAUUGGAGCGGCCGAUAUCAGAUUAGGUAGUUGGUGGGGUAAAGGCUCACCAAGCCGACGAUCUGUAGCUGGUCUGAGAGGACGACCGGCAACACUGGGACUGAGACACGGCACAGACUCCUACGGGAGGCAGCAGUGGGGAAUUUUGGACAAUGGGCGCAAGCCUGAUCCAGCCAUGCCGCGUGCAGGAUGAAGGCCUUCGGGUUGUAAACUGCUUUUGUACGGAACGAAAAGGUCUCUCUUAAUACGGGGGACUCAUGACGGUACCGUAAGAAUAAGCACCGGCUAACUACGUGCCAGCCGCCGCCGUAA